Molecule: ribosomal RNA, 501 nt
Filed under: uncultured bacterium
Lineage: Bacteria
Description: partial 16S ribosomal RNA
Rfam family: Bacterial small subunit ribosomal RNA
Source: RNAcentral
AUUGAACGCUGGCGGCAGGCUUAACACAUGCAAGUCGAGCGGGGGAAGGUAGCUUGCUACCGGACCUAGCGGCGGACGGGUGAGUAAUGCUUAGGAAUCUGCCUAUUAGUGGGGGACAACACCUCGAGAGGGAUGCUAAUACCGCAUACGUCCUGCGAGAGAAAGCAGGGGAUCUUCGAACCUUGCGCUAAUAGAUGAGCCUAAGUCGGAUUAGCUAGUUGGUGGGGGAAAGGCCUACCAAGGCGACGAUCUGUAGCGGGUCUGAGAGGAUGAUCCGCCACACUGGGACUGAGACACGGCCCAGACUCCUACGGGAGGCAGCAGUGGGGAAUAUUGGACAAUGGGGGGAACCCUGAUCCAGCCAUGCCGCGUGUGUGAAGAAGGCCUUAUGGUUGUAAAGCACUUUAAGCGAGGAGGAGGCUACUCUAGUUAAUACCUAGGGAUAGUGGACGUUACUCGCAGAAUAAGCACCGGCUAACUCUGUGCCAGCAGCCGCGGUAA